CAGGCUUUUUCAGAACAGUCACAUUUCGCAGGAAGUCAGACGGGCGGAUGGACUGCGUAAGUCGCAUCGUGUUAGAGUGGAAUUAGGACGUAGCACCUCGUCACAAUGUGUUAAAAUCCAGGUACAAGCGAGUAUUUCCUUGGGGAAAGAAAACGUCUGGGCAAUUUGGUGGCACCUUUAUCUUUCUUUCUCUUUUAGAAAUGGUCGUUAAGAGAUAUUAGCGGGAGUCUGAGAAUUGGAUAUCAAGGUCUAUUGUUGUAUUUCUCAUUCAUAUUGUCCGGAGUUAUGACAUGACUUGCAGCUCCAUCUUCGGACUCAAUAUUGUCCUUGAAUUAUAUUCCAUAUAAAAUCAUGUCUGUGACCUUCUACACCCAAUAUUAUACAUAGGAAUGUACAGAGAGUUUGUGGAUGAACACGCGGGUUGGUAACACACUUCUGGAAGUAUUUUGAACCACUGAGCCCAAUUAAUUCUCCGCAGUGUUCUCCACCCAUGGCCAGCAGCCAGUAGGUACCCCAUACAAGUUCCAAUAUUUUACGCAUCAGGG
Molecule: small RNA, 545 nt
Filed under: Histoplasma ohiense
Lineage: Eukaryota; Fungi; Ascomycota; Eurotiomycetes; Onygenales; Ajellomycetaceae
Description: hypothetical lncRNA
Source: RNAcentral